UAAUCUCACACUUAAGAUUUUUCUUGAGAGGUGGACUUGAAGGUUGCUGUCUUUGUUGAUGGCUCCUUUUAAAAGCAUUAGUGAUGUACAUCUUGCAUUACAAACCAGUGUAAUAAGAUUCCGCUGGGUUGAAAGGCUUGAAAAAUCGCUUCUAACCGUCCAUUGAAUUGGACUGCCGCUUGCGGUAAUUGACA
RNAcentral lists this unclassified non-coding RNA (194 nucleotides) under uncultured Efibulobasidium. RNAcentral's name for it is "partial internal transcribed spacer 2". Lineage: Eukaryota; Fungi; Basidiomycota; Agaricomycetes; Sebacinales; Sebacinaceae. The record is from RNAcentral.